This is a long non-coding RNA of Quercus lobata, 1058 nucleotides long. RefSeq lists it as uncharacterized. The transcript is spliced from 3 exons. NCBI's taxonomy places the organism in Eukaryota, Viridiplantae, Streptophyta, Magnoliopsida, Fagales, Fagaceae. The record is from RefSeq and is a predicted model, not a curated record.
UUAUGUCACAAGACUUUGUAACCAGGGAAUUCUUCUUCAUCUCCACUCCCAUCUGAGUCACAAUCUUCCCUGGUGAUUUGAAUCAACCAUGGUUAUCCGGUUCAAAUUUAAGAGCUCCUCUGGUGUCAAAUUUUAUCUUCCAGUGCAGUCCUCCGUUACCUUUUAGUUAAAGUCCUGCCGUUAACUAAAUCAAAACGUUGCCGAAGAUUGCCCCGGAAGAUUCACACUGUGGAGGAGUUCUUGCAGGUUGCGUUUGGGUAUGUGGGUUUGAAUCGGAAAGUUCAUGUUGUGAUUGGCAAGAGGUAUUUUAGGCCUACUGAGGUUGAUAACCUUAAGGGAGAUGCAAGCAGAGCUAAAAAAGUUCUUGAUUGGAAGCCAUGAUUGGCUUGGGUCUUUCCAAUUUUUGCUUCAGAUCUGCAACAAUGGGGUUUGGAAAUGAUUCUAUAUAAGGGGUUCUUAGAGCUGAUAUAGUUUUCAAUUCAGUAAUUUGAAAUGAUUCUGAUUCUGUUUAAGGGGUUCUUAAGAGCUGAUAUAGUUUUCAAUUCAGUAAUUCAUAUCGAUGGUGUUUUAAGAUGUUGUUGUUAUCAUGUUAUGCAUUGUUUGAAUAUCUGUAAUUCCAUUAAUUUGAUUCUAGCAAGUCCCAUACUUAUUCGUCUUCUUAUUUUUCUUCUUGGAGUCACAAUGUGGAUGGGAUGGAUAAGAUCAUAUUUUGUACUGGGAAGUUCGAGAUCUUGCAAUUUUGAAGACUGGAGCCUUUUUGGGGAUGCUGGAUCUGAUCCCUUUCAAUUUACAGGAGAUUAGUUUUUAUUUUUUUUUGUUGGUAAUUAACGUAUUUCAUUAAAAUUAAGUAAAAAAAAAAAAAAAACCAAAACGGUGUCGUUUUGGUUUAGUUAAUGGUAGGACUUAACUGACGGGUAACAGAUGAAUGAAUUGACAAAAUUUGAAACUUAGAGGACUAAAAUGAUAAAGGUUGAAAUUUAGAGGAUCAGUUUUGGAUUAUAGCAUUUUUUUUUUUUUUUAAUAUAUAUUCUUUCUUCCAAUGUUCCAAGAAAUAAAAU